This 576-nucleotide ribosomal RNA is filed under the name uncultured eukaryote. RNAcentral's name for it is "SSU rRNA". It matches the Rfam family "Eukaryotic small subunit ribosomal RNA", at positions 203 to 784 of the family's 1831-position model. The record is from RNAcentral.
UAUUUAUUAGAUAAAAAACCGAUGCCCUUCGGGGCUCCUUGGUGAAUCAUAAUAACUUAACGAAUCGCAUGGCCUUGCGCCGGCGAUGGUUCAUUCAAAUUUCUGCCCUAUCAACUUUCGAUGGUAGGAUAGUGGCCUACCAUGGUAUCAACGGGUAACGGGGAAUUAGGGUUCGACUCCGGAGAGGGAGCCUGAGAAACGGCUACCACAUCCAAGGAAGGCAGCAGGCGCGCAAAUUACCCAAUCCCGACACGGGGAGGUAGUGACAAUAAAUACUGAUACAGGGCUCUUUUGGGUCUUGUAAUUGGAAUGAGUACAAUUUAAAUCCCUUAACGAGGAACAAUUGGAGGGCAAGUCUGGUGCCAGCAGCCGCGGUAAUUCCAGCUCCAAUAGCGUAUAUCAAAGUUGUUGCAGUUAAAAAGCUCGUAGUUGAACCUUGGGCCUGGCUGGCCGGUCCGCCUCACCGCGUGUACUGGUCCGGCCGGGCCUUUCCUUCUGGGGAACCUCAUGCCCUUCACUGGGCGUGUUGGGGAACCAGGACUUUUACUUUGAAAAAAUUAGAGUGUUCAAAGCAGG